RNAcentral lists this ribosomal RNA (499 nucleotides) under Astrotoma drachi. Its description in RNAcentral is "partial 16S ribosomal RNA". It matches the Rfam family "Bacterial large subunit ribosomal RNA", at positions 1818 to 2597 of the family's 2925-position model. The record is from RNAcentral. Lineage: Eukaryota; Metazoa; Echinodermata; Ophiuroidea; Euryalida; Gorgonocephalidae.
CGCCUUUGGAAAAUCAUCAAACGCUCCUGCCUGCCCGGUGAUUUAAAAAUUAAACGGCUGCGGUACUCUGACCGUGCAAAGGUAGCAUAAUCAUUAGCCUGUUAAUUUCAGGCUGGCAUCAAUGGCAAGACGAAGGAAAAGCUGUCUCUUUCUAUUAUUUUAGAAUUUUUCUUUUUGGUGAAGAGACCAAAAUAUAAAAGUGGGACGAGAAGACCCUAUUGAGUUUAAGUUAAUUUAUAGAAGUUAAAUUUUUAUUUAAAAACUUUGGUUGGGGCAACUGUUUAUAAAAUUAAACAUAAUAAAAUAGAAAUUGAAUUAAAUCUAGAAGUGUAAGUACCCAGGAUUAUUCUGGAAUUAAAAAUAAUUACCAUAGGGAUAACAGCGUAAUUCUUUUUGAGAGUACAUAUUGACAAAAGAGUUUGCGACCUCGAUGUUGGAUCAAGUUUUCCUGGAGGUGCAGCAGUUUCUAAGGGUUGGUUUGUUCAACCAUAAAAAUCUU